Molecule: ribosomal RNA, 501 nt
Filed under: uncultured bacterium
Lineage: Bacteria
Description: partial 16S ribosomal RNA
Rfam family: Bacterial small subunit ribosomal RNA
Source: RNAcentral
AUUGAACGCUGGCGGCAGGCUUAACACAUGCAAGUCGAGCGGAGAUGAGGUGCUUGCACCUUAUCUUAGCGGCGGACGGGUGAGUAAUGCUUAGGAAUCUGCCUAUUAGUGGGGGACAACAUUCCGAAAGGAAUGCCAAUACUGCAUACGUCCUACGGGAGAAAGCAGGGGAUCUUCGGACCUUGCGCUAAUAGAUGAGCCUAAGUCGGAUUAGCUAGUUGGUGGGGUAAAGGCCUACCAAGGCGACGAUCUGUAGCGGGUCUGAGAGGAUGAUCCGCCACACUGGGACUGAGACACGGCCCAGACUCCUACGGGAGGCAGCAGUGGGGAAUAUUGGACAAUGGGGGAAACCCUGAUCCAGCCAUGCCGCGUGUGUGAAGAAGGCCUUAUGGUUGUAAAGCACUUUAAGCGAGGAGGAGGCUACUGAGACUAAUACUCUUGGAUAGUGGACGUUACUCGCAGAAUAAGCACCGGCUAACUCUGUGCCAGCAGCCGCCGUAA